ACACCCUCCUAGGGACUGUUUUCUUUUUGGGGUUGGUUGCUGUUAUUGCUAGACCUUCCUGGCUACAAAAGUCCUGUUCCCCCUUAGAUUGCAGCUAACAGGGUUACUAUUUCCUGUUACAAAGAUAUUGUCUAAUUUAGGGAAACAUAGUGUGAUCCAAAAAUCUUCAUAUCCAGUUUUGUAAAAUAGAAAACAGAAGGAAACCUACUGGAUGAAAUCAGCAGGAUAAAUCAAUUAUAACUCAGAUCAGUGGGAAUUAGAUUUAAUUCCCUCUCAUGGUAAACAUGGAAAGAAUCAAUAUAAUUUGAAUAGUAUUUUAUAAUGGCUGAGAAUCUUGCAAUAGGGUAAUGAAAUUAGAUUUUUUUUUAAAGCUGAGCAAUAACAGAACUGUUAAAAUUAGAUCCUGAAACUAAACCAGAGAUAAAAAGAUAAACUUUCAAAAUUAACUUCUAUUAAAUGAGAGAGAGAUGGGAUUAGGCAGGACCCCCUGAAUACCCAUGUAAAGCUAAAAAUCCAAAAAGUUCAACAUUAAGAAAUUGGGGUAAAUAUGUUUGUAAUAGGAAAUCUUUGUAGAAGCCAGUUAUUCAGUGCGGGAGGAUCCCACUAAUAGGUUUCAGGUAAGAUUAGCAAAAUGUUAAGAGUUUAUUUUUAGCACAGACUGGCUUCCUGCAAAAAGGAAGCAGGCAAGAGAUCUGCUGGUAGGGCAACUAGAACAGCUCUUACAGCCAGACCAACUAGGGCAGAUGAACCUCCGCAAAGAAUAAAAUAAUAUACUGCUAUAUCCAGCCUCAGUUAGUAGUUUGCUAAGUUCCAUAGGGCUUUUGUCCUUGAAAGUAAUACCACUGAUUAAAUAGAGUAAAAGAAGAAUGAGUACAGUAUUAAAUCAAAGUAAAUAUUAGAUCUGAUCAAAUUCUUUGUUGUGGAUUAUGUUACAAAUUUAGCCUUUUUUUCGCAAUGAAAAUCAUUUGUACAUUAAUCUAAAUGUUUGAGAAUGUACUGAUUAUUUGUAGGUACUCACCAAAUAGCUUGUCCCAACAAAAUAAUUGUUGUUAGUGGUGUGAUUGGUUACCUACAUCUAAUAUUGCAUCUACUCUCAAGUUGGAAUCUGAAAGGUUUAAACAAGUGAAUGACAGACAAGUAAAAGGCUUGUUGGGAAUUGGCCUUGAUAUAGGCCAAGACAUUAGGGUCCUGGACUACUAUAAUUCAUUAUGUCAUAUGGGGAUUCUCCCAUGCCAGAUGACUGAUAUAACCUCUCUCCAGGCUGCAAUCUCUUCUAUGCCAUUGCCUGCCAUUCUGCUGUUCAGGAUCUCAGAUUCGUAUACUACAAAGAAAGCAGCACAUAACUUGGCUAGAACAUUAUUCAUUAAAAGUCAGUAUUGUAGUCAUUUAAGGACUCAUCCAAAUGCAGAAAUUGAUUUUAAUGAGCUGUGGAUAAGGCCCUCACUUUUGGCCAAGAAAAGUAAUGUGAUGUGUAACUCUGAUCUGAACGGAGUCAUGGAGGUCCUUGGAAGUCACUGGACACACUUUUUUAAAAUAAAAUAAAUCUUAUGUACUUCUGGGUGACAGAAUCUGUCCCUCUAAAAAAUUUAUUUGUAGCAGUGUGCUAAGAUAUUGCAGUAACCUGAAUGCUGAAAUAUAUACAGAGAAAUGACUAAAGUGGACAUGAAAAUACUAACGAUGUAAAAGAGACUUUGGGAAGGAGGAGAAAGGAAAUAGCUGUCUAUUGAGUAUACUUAAUCUUUCAUAUUCUAAUUAUGCAUUCAUUUUUCACUCAACUGUUCCAUUGAUGCUGAUGUAAAAGAUUCAGGAGAAGGCCCUUAAACACUUGCAGAAGAAAAGUGGACCUAAAUCAGUCAGGCUAAAAAUGUAUCAGUUGUUCACCACAGUAUGAGUAUGAUAUAGGCUUGUAUGUGAUAAACAAGGGAAAUGUGUUAGACAGAUGCUCUCUGGGUAUUUGAACACUUUGAUCAUAUUAUCUUGUAUUGUCUUCCUUCUAUGUAUUGAAUCUCUGAUCUCUUGUCUAUCUUGUAUGUAUUGCUGUACUCAAAACAGUUUAAAAAUCACCAUCAUAAACAAAAAGUUAAAAAGAAAAAGGUAAAUACUCUUGCUUUUUUUUUUUUUUAAGGUAGUCAUAACAAAGUAGUAAAAAACCCCUAAUAUCUUGACAUUUGCUGCAAUUUAUCACAACCUCUUCUAACUGAAGCAAGCUUUCUAUAACAAUACAAUAAAAAAUAAAAAUGCCAAAUGUUUUGAAUAUAACAAUUUAAGGUUGGAAAAUGAAAACCAGCCAACCAGACAGUUAACAUUUGUGCACUUGGACUAUUAAAUCUAAUAAAUAAUAAUGGCUGUUGUAGCACAUAGUGUAUUACUUUGCAUCUGGCAAGAUGCUAUGGAAUAAAAUCCAAAUUAAACAGUCCUGGAAAAAAAGAAAUAUGCAAUUAACUACCAGCUUUUUCUGCUAUCUAAGACCUAAUUGCUAAAUACAGUUGUACAUUCUCCAUAAAGUUUUCAUGUCUGUAACAGCAAGGUACAAGUAAUCAACUGAAUGCUUGUACAGUAAUACAACCAUGACUUAGUGGACUUAAGCAUUCAAAUGGUAAGCAGUGAGGAUACGGUCUACUGCUUCCUAAAAUAAUUAAGAAAGUAUUAAUUAAUUUACCCACAUAAACACUUCUUCCUAAGCCCUACUUUUCCAGAAGGCACAAAAUGGAGAACACUACUGUAUCAAGUUAACAUUGUCUGUUCAACAGGAAACCAGAAUCUUAAGUUGCUAAUUAAAAAUAUGCUUAUUUUGAAAACAAGUAUUGAUACAUGAUGCAAGAGGGUAGUGGUAGGGAGGAGAACCAGAACAAAGUUAUAGCUAUUAUAACUAUAUCAAAAUAUUCAUAAUUAAAUAGGAUCUUGUAUGAGCAGAUGUUGCAGGAGGUAUCCCAAAAGCAGAGGAACAUGAUUGAAUACAAGUCAAGUAAAAUGCAGAAUUGACCUUUAGUAAUUCAUGUGUGUUCUUGCAUGCAUGUUCCAAACUAUGUUUUAGUAGACAUGAGAUUUAUAGAAGACUUCCUUCCUUUCUCACGUCCUUAUGACAAGGCACUUAGCAAAAUUUGCAGUUUCUUUGGAAUCUGACAUGGCUGCACUGUGAACACUUCUGUGAUGGCCUCAAAGAUUUACUGCUGAUUCCGUUAGUGGUUCAGGAUUUAAACAAACAAAAAAUGCUGCAUCACUGCUGCUGUCAUUUCUAUUACUUAGUAGAUUUUAUGCCUUCCUAUUAUGGUUAUCAAUGCAAUGUGACUUUCAAAUGCACUCUGCUGGGUACUUAUUUUGCUGUUGUGUAUAUGAGUUCAUACACGAGUGCAAUGUUUGAUGCCUUUGGAACAAAACUAUGUUUUUGCACUAGAUUUUGAUCUCUAGCAGUGAAGCACUCGGUACAGUUGCCUUGGAAGGAGGCAGUGUUGGCUGACCACUUCAGUGCCAUUCUGCUUUGUGUUGGAAGAAACAGCACUGAAGUGUUUCAAUGAUCAGCUAUUUGCCAGACAUGCCUUUAUGGUGUAUCCAUGGAUAGAUGGGGAAGAAUAAGCUUUUUGGCCUUCUGGAGUUUCUCCAUAGGAACCUGGAAUCCUCUGGAAGUCAGUAAAACUUUGUUUGGUGACAUCUUUGUACUAAAAGUAGCUCUAUUAAAGGUUAUGGAUUUGCCCCUUUGGAUGAACUAAGUAUAAAACCAAUAGGACUAACAACAUGAACAAAGUUACUUUUGGAGGAUCAUAGCUUAAUUCUUUACUAAACUUAGCCCAGAACCAUAGAUACAGCUGAGUCUGUCUUACCUUGGCCAUGGAUGAUGUAAAGACAGUUAUAAUACUUUAGAUUGGAACAUGCAGUAGGCCCAAAGGCAAAAUAUAACUUGUGUUUUCAACGUCAUUAGGUAUCUACUGUCUGUUACCUGUU
Long non-coding RNA from Alligator mississippiensis (American alligator), 3939 nucleotides. RefSeq lists it as uncharacterized. NCBI's taxonomy places the organism in Eukaryota, Metazoa, Chordata, Crocodylia, Alligatoridae. The transcript has 3 exons. The record is from RefSeq and is a predicted model, not a curated record.